This 206-nucleotide ribosomal RNA is filed under the name uncultured bacterium. Its description in RNAcentral is "partial 16S ribosomal RNA". It matches the Rfam family "Bacterial small subunit ribosomal RNA", at positions 568 to 774 of the family's 1533-position model. The record is from RNAcentral.
UGCGUAGGCGGUCUUUCAAGCCAGAAGUGAAAGGCUACAGCUCAACCGUAGUAAACUUUUGGAACUGUAGGACUUGAGUGCAGGAGAGGAGAGUAGAAUUCCUAGUGUAGCGGUGAAAUGCGUAGAUAUUAGUAGGAAUACCAGUAGCGAAGGCGGCUCUCUGGACUGUAACUGACGCUGAGGCACGAAAGCGUGGGGAGCGAACA